AGCGAUUUAGGUACUAAAACCAAGG
RNAcentral lists this transfer RNA (25 nucleotides) under Calodactylodes illingworthorum. Its description in RNAcentral is "partial tRNA-Trp". The record is from RNAcentral. Lineage: Eukaryota; Metazoa; Chordata; Lepidosauria; Squamata; Gekkonidae.